This 328-nucleotide ribosomal RNA is filed under the name uncultured Anaerolineaceae bacterium. RNAcentral's name for it is "bacterial SSU rRNA". It matches the Rfam family "Bacterial small subunit ribosomal RNA", at positions 1040 to 1382 of the family's 1533-position model. Lineage: Bacteria; Bacillati; Chloroflexota; Anaerolineae; Anaerolineales; Anaerolineaceae. The record is from RNAcentral.
GCUGCAUGGCUGUCGUCAGCUCGUGUCGUGAGAUGUCGGUUAAGUCCGCUAACGAGCGCAACCUCGCUGUGUGUUACAAGUGUCACACGGAACUGCCGGUCAUAAACCGGAGGAAGGUGGGGAUGACGUCAAGUCAGCAUGGCCUUUAUAUCCUGGGCUACACACACGCUACAAUGGGAAGGGACAAUAGGUUGCGAAGCCGCGAGGCGGAGCCAAUCCAGCAAAACUUCCCUCAGUUCAGAUUGCAGGCUGCAACUCGCCUGCAUGAAGUUGGAGUUGCUAGUAAACGCAGGUCAGCCAUACUGCGUUGAAUACGUUCCCGGGGCUU